This 306-nucleotide ribosomal RNA is filed under the name Triticum aestivum (bread wheat). RNAcentral describes it as "partial small subunit ribosomal RNA". The record is from RNAcentral. Lineage: Eukaryota; Viridiplantae; Streptophyta; Magnoliopsida; Poales; Poaceae.
AUGUCUUCUAGCAAAAGCUUCAGAAGCAUCGAGGGCGUCAAGUUCAAGAAAGAUCACUUAUGCGGUGCCUGUGAGGCAGGAAAGAUGACGAGGGCCAAACAUCCCUCGAGGACAAUCAUGACCACUACUCGACCCUUCGAACUGCUUCACAUGGAUCUUUUCGGUCCCACUCAUUACGCAACUCUUACUACUACUGCUUGUCUCUAUGGCUUUGUCAUUGUUGAUGAUUAUUCUAGAUAUACUUGGGUGCACAUAAUCCUUUACAAGACUGAAGUGCAGGAUGUCUUCAGACGCUUCGCCAAUUGA